Molecule: ribosomal RNA, 246 nt
Filed under: uncultured bacterium
Lineage: Bacteria
Description: partial 16S ribosomal RNA
Rfam family: Bacterial small subunit ribosomal RNA
Source: RNAcentral
GAUCCUGGCUCAGGACGAACGCUGGCGGCGUGCUUAACACAUGCAAGUCGAACGGAGCACCCCUGAAUGAGGUUUCGGCCAAAGGAAGGGAAUGCUUAGUGGCGGACUGGUGAGUAACGCGUGAGGAACCUGCCUUUCAGAGGGGGACAACAGUUGGAAACGACUGCUAAUACCGCAUGACACAUAGAAGUGGGGCACUCCCAUUGAUGUACAAAGUAUUUAUCGCUAGAAAGAUCGGCCUCGCCG